Molecule: RNA transcript, 865 nt
Organism: Melitaea cinxia (Glanville fritillary)
Lineage: Eukaryota; Metazoa; Arthropoda; Insecta; Lepidoptera; Nymphalidae
Gene name: NADH dehydrogenase [ubiquinone] 1 alpha subcomplex subunit 11-like
Exons: 3
Source: RefSeq, a predicted model, not a curated record
AAUUUAUCAUCCACACAGAUCAUCCACGUCACCGAACCGUAACUACUAGUGUUCUUUUGUCCACGACGCCAAGCCGUCGAAAGAAAAUACAAUCCAUUUAUUAACCACACAAUACAAUCCAUUCGUUCACCACUUUGUUUCUGUACGAGUUGUUUCAUCGGAGUGAACAUUGCUGCGCUUAUAACUGACAUUCCUGGACAAGAAGCAAUCAUUCGUCGGCAGGAAUACAUUUAAGUACAGUUUUGGAUACCAUCUGUCGUGUCUGCGAUCAUCAUACGUCAAGGAUACACUUUUCAGAGUGAGCUGGAACCUGGACGAGUAGUCAGAUAUGCCUAAAGACGAGGCUAAGGAGCGCGAGGCCUUCUAUUCUCAGUACUACUACUCUCUCGUGUCUGCCGGACGUGCCUUGAUCCAGAGUCAUAGCAAGCUGUCGCUCCCUUCACUCCACACUUUGUCUCCGAUUUGCUCUGAGGCACAUUCACACAAAGGGUGUCAAGUUCGGUCUGAGUCCAUCUAAGCACGCCAAAGAUGUACAAGAAAGUUGCCAUGAUCCAGCCGUUAUAAGCUCAGAACUUGUUGGUGCCCCACAAAUAGCUCCAGGGGACUUUUGUCAGCUGUCUAAAAAAGACUUCGCAAACUGCACUUCACCCCUAUGCAUUGUGACAUACCAAGGUACCGGUAAGAUUCAGCUUCGGAAAACUCGCUCGUUUCUUUUUGUGUGUAAUAAAGUUUUAAUAAAUAAAUAAAUAAAUAAAUAAAUAAAAAUAAUAUUUUCUUGUACCUACUUUUAAAUGGGACUGUGUAUUCUAAUUGAUAUUAACCUGUUCUAUUAAAUAUUUUUGUGAAUUAAAAUUUAUAUUUUGAA